AUGAAACGGUGCCGGGGGAGGGGGGGGGAAGCGCGCGGGAGCCCCGUCGCGGAGCAUCCGAGAAGCCCGGCGGCGCGAGCAAGCAACACACCCAGCAUCGGGGAUGCUGAACACACGCCUUCCUUUAUAAGGAUCAAAGUUCCGCGGCCGUUUCCUUGUACAGCAGAAACGCGGAGCGGCAGCCGCACGGAAAAUUGUGUUUUCGGCAACUUUCGCAGAUUUCACGCUGCGCCCCUCCUGGCAAACGGCGGUACUGCAGCUUCUUCUGCCCCGACCGCUCCUCUCGUAAUAGAAGCGCGGGGAAUCCUACUGGCUAACUAUGCAGAAGUUGGGAGAUCUAAUGGUUUUGCAACCGUUUCCGAAGGAGUACUCUAACAUAGCAUUAUUAUUUUUUCAGUGUUAGGUUUUGGACUACAUCUCGCAGAAUCCCCCAGCCAGCAGCCGGAAGAAAGUAGCAAUCAGAAAAUAAGCAGUUUCCAAAUUUUGAGGGGGGGAAACAUUUAGGACAGAACAGUUAAAACAAUUUCACAACUUAUUUAUUUCAUACCAGUUAGCCAGGACUAGGGAGCUGCCUUGUAUCCGUUUAAGGAGGAAGGCAGGGUAGAAAUAAGUUAAAACACAAAACAACAACAACAACAACAACAACAACAACAACAACAACAACAACAACAACAACAACAACAACAACAACAGGCACAGUCAAUCAAAGCUAUAAAAGCUUUGACUGGUACUAUGUAAUAGAUACAAGUUUUAACCAAAAGCUUAAAUACUGGUUAAAUAUUGGAGCAGUAUGUAUGCAAUUCCUUAUAUUACAGUUUUUUGUAACUCUGCUGGUGUUAUUCCCGAGAUCCACAAGUGCUUAUAGUACUGUGUUACAUUUCUUGAUAUUGUUCCCAAAACCCCAGUGACUACGGGAACCACUGAAGUGUGCUUCAUCCACAAGAGAUGUUUCAAUUGUCAGGUCUCUAUUUUGUUAGUUUUUCCAAUUCUUUAUUUUCAACUCUGACACCCCCCUGGAAUUGCAAUGUCAGUGAUCCAGACCUUCGUUCUAUUACUGCUAUGUCUGGUGUGUUAUGUUCAAGGUGUCUGUCAGUUUGGAUCCAGAAAUCCCACACGAGCUUGACUUCCUCAUUUUCUGACACCUUCUCUAUCUGUUCCCAUGGGUUUUUGGAGGCUGGCAAGUUUUAUUUAUUUUGCAUAAUGACUAGUGCACUAAUUUUGCCACUUUAUCCCGUCCAAUUUGAGAUGUGACACCAUUUCAUAUAUUUUUUUCACAGUGCUGUUAGCACUAAUUCUUUGGAUCUUAGCUUUCAUCACGUUGGUUUGAAGUGCUUGUUGUUGUGCAGCAAAAAUCAAGCCUUCGGUUUCUUUCUUA
This 1375-nucleotide long non-coding RNA is filed under the name Pogona vitticeps (central bearded dragon). RNAcentral's name for it is "lncRNA (ENSPVIG00000022316.1)". Lineage: Eukaryota; Metazoa; Chordata; Lepidosauria; Squamata; Agamidae. The record is from RNAcentral.